This 976-nucleotide ribosomal RNA is filed under the name human gut metagenome. RNAcentral's name for it is "bacterial LSU rRNA". It matches the Rfam family "Bacterial large subunit ribosomal RNA", at positions 1950 to 2925 of the family's 2925-position model. The record is from RNAcentral.
CCUAAGGUAGCGAAAUUCCUUGUCAGGUAAGUUCUGACCCGCACGAAAGGUGUAAUGAUUUGGGAGCUGUCUCGACAAUGUACUCGGCGAAAUUGUAGUACUAGUGAAGAUGCUAGUUACCUGCGACAAGACAGAAAGACCCCAUGGAGCUUUACUGCAGCUUGAUACUGGGUUUCGGUAAUUUAUGUACAGGAUAGGUGGGAUGCUAAGAAGUAUGUGCGCCAGCGCAUAUGGAGCAGACGUUGGGAUACCACCCUUAAAUUACUGGAAUUCUAACUAUAAGUCCUAAGCGGGCUUGAGGACAAUGUCAGGCGGGCAGUUUGACUGGGGCGGUCGCCUCCUAAAGAGUAACGGAGGCGCGCAAAGGUUUCCUCAGCGCGGACAGAAAUCGCGCGAAAGAGUGCAAAGGCAGAAGGAAGCUUAACUGAGAGACAGACAUGUCGACCAGAUACGAAAGUAGGUCUUAGUGAUCCGGUGGUUGUAAGUGGAAAUGCCAUCGCUCAACGGACAAAAGUUACCCUGGGGAUAACAGGCUUAUCUCCCCCAAGAGUUCACAUCGACGGGGAGGUUUGGCACCUCGAUGUCGGCUCAUCGCAUCCUGGGGCUGUAGUAGGUCCCAAGGGUUGGGCUGUUCGCCCAUUAAAGUGGUACGCGAGCUGGGUUCAGAACGUCGUGAGACAGUUCGGUCCUUAUCUGUCGCAGGCGAAGGAUAUUUGAAGGGAGUUGACCUUAGUACGAGAGGACCAGGUUGAAGGAACCGAUGGUGCACCAGUUGUACUACCAAGUGCAUAGCUGGAUAGCUAAGUUCCGAAGGGAUAAACGCUGAAAGCAUCUAAGUGUGAAGCCCACCCUAAGAUAAGAUAUCCCAUACCAUAAGGUAGUAAGAUUCCAUGUAGACGACAUGGUGAUAGGUUGGAGGUGUAAGUGCAGUAAUGCAUUAAGCUGACCAAUACUAAUAAAUCGAGGGCUUAACCAC